This 89-nucleotide transfer RNA is filed under the name hydrothermal vent metagenome. Its description in RNAcentral is "tRNA-Leu-TAA". It matches the Rfam family "tRNA". From Rfam's summary of the family: Transfer RNA (tRNA) molecules are approximately 80 nucleotides in length. The record is from RNAcentral.
GCGGGCGUGGUGGAAUUGGUAGACACACAGGACUUAAAAUCCUGAGAACGGUAACGUUCGUGCGGGUUCGAUUCCCGCCGCCCGCACCA